This is a non-coding RNA of Taeniopygia guttata (zebra finch), 952 nucleotides long. Lineage: Eukaryota; Metazoa; Chordata; Aves; Passeriformes; Estrildidae. The record is from RefSeq and is a predicted model, not a curated record.
CCCCAUGUUCCCCUCCCACAGCCUCUGCAUCCAUAAAAUCCAGCAUGGUGCUGCUGGAGCCUGGGAUAGGCAGGAAAGCAGUGGGAGCACCAGCAGGUGUUCUUCAAAGACGUGGAGGGAUUUCUGGGUUAAACAGGAUUUCAAUCAUGAUUUUUCCUUUCCCUCAGCUGCCCCAUGAAGUUCUCUUCAGUGUCCCUGCUGGUGGGCUCUGGGUGGUCUUUUCCUGGUGACACGACCCCUGUGUCCCUCGGUCCUUGUCUCAGGGUGGGGAGGUUGGGCUCAGAGGCCUGGGAGAGCUCAGGGAUGACCUUUUACAUCUUAUGUACCCAUUUUCUUCUGCUUGCUGACCAAAUACCGCUUCAAACAAAAACUGGUUGGUAUUAAGGUGUAACAGCAUUUUAACACCACACAGCGUUAGCUCUUUGGAUUUGUUCUGUGUUGCAGGCAUGGAACAAAGCAGGUUGAGGAGGCAGCACCAAAAAAAGCCAAGCAGCUGUGCCUGGAGGAGGGGCUGGGGAUGUGUGUGCACAGCCAGGGCCCGGGAGUUGUGUUUCAGCCUGUGGGUGGUUCAUUAGCAAAGGAAACUUUGCCGGAGCGGUGGUUUGGGAUCGAAAGCCCUUCUCAUUGUCAGCCCCGGCGGCGCUAAUGGAGCCUGGCAGUUCUGGGAAGCGGGAUUUGUGUUUCACGACGUGCCUGACAUUCCUCUGCUUGCGGGCCGGGAAUGUUCUCGGCUGGGAAGAUUUACCCUUGUGGAGGUGAGCCUGUCUAGCACAAAGGAUGGAUUUGAGAUCUGCCAGCCAUGGAGUCCCCUUCAGUUCCUGGAAAGCCCCAGGCAUCUCCCCACAGCUCCCUGGAAAACUCCCUGCAACACCUUGACCCCUCUCUUCCGUGCCCUGUUUUGUGAAAAAAACAUGGCAAAAUAACAUUUCCAUUUUCCAGGGAGAAAUUUUAU